This 355-nucleotide ribosomal RNA is filed under the name Aulonogyrus hypoxanthus. RNAcentral describes it as "partial 12S ribosomal RNA". Lineage: Eukaryota; Metazoa; Arthropoda; Insecta; Coleoptera; Gyrinidae. The record is from RNAcentral.
UUUAAAUGUAAAUUUUUGAACUAAAUUAGUAAUAGAUAUGAUCUUCAAAUUUAAAGAUUUUGGCGGUAUUUUAGUCUAUUCAGAGGAACCUGUUCUGUAAUUGAUAGUCCACGAUUAACUUUACUUAAUUUUAAAAAUUUGUAUAUCGUUGUUUAUAGAAAAUUUUAUAAGAAAAAUAAUUUUUAAUAAAUUUAAUUAAAUUAUAAAUCAAAUCAAGGUGCAGUUUAUAGUUGAGGUAGAAAUGGGUUACAAUAAAUUUAUUUAUUAAUGGAUAUAAAUUUUAAAAUUUUAUUAAAGGUGGAUUUGAUAGUAAUAUUAUUUAAUUAAAUAAUAUGAUUAUAGCUCUAAAAUAUGU